Long non-coding RNA from Hypanus sabinus (Atlantic stingray), 433 nucleotides. RefSeq lists it as uncharacterized. NCBI's taxonomy places the organism in Eukaryota, Metazoa, Chordata, Chondrichthyes, Myliobatiformes, Dasyatidae. The record is from RefSeq and is a predicted model, not a curated record. The transcript is spliced from 4 exons.
GAAUAAAACAUUACGUUCUCAAACCAAGCAGCAGCAGAUGGGGGAGUGUAGAUUUCCAGACCAACUAGAUUCUCCUACGGGCCAAAAGCGAUAGAUUCGACACUCUCCGAUCACUUCCGUCCGAGACCAGGAGAGUAUUUUCGAACAGGAGAUGAACAGGAACGGGUCCCUAUAUCGUCUAAAUGUCCAAAAGUUGCAUUGCAUCGUAGAAUCCAGGAUAACCGCGAAAUCCAGUCGGGUCGUUUGCCAGACCAGCUGUCUCAAGUCAUUUAUAAAAAUCACGAACAGUAACGGACCCAGAACAGAUCUCUGAGGCACACAACUGGUCACCGACCUCCAUGCAGAAAAUGGCAUGUCCACACCCACACUUUGCCUUCUGUGCGCACGCCAAUUCUGGAUCCACAAGAGAUUCUACACUCUCCGAUCACUUCCG